RNAcentral lists this ribosomal RNA (489 nucleotides) under uncultured bacterium. RNAcentral's name for it is "partial 16S ribosomal RNA". It matches the Rfam family "Bacterial small subunit ribosomal RNA", at positions 30 to 506 of the family's 1533-position model. The record is from RNAcentral.
AUUGAACGCUGGCGGCAGGCCUAACACAUGCAAGUCGAACGGUAACAGGAAGAAGCUUGCUUCUUUGCUGACGAGUGGCGGACGGGUGAGUAAUGUCUGGGAAACUGCCUGAUGGAGGGGGAUAACUACUGGAAACGGUAGCUAAUACCGCAUAACGUCGCAAGACCAAAGAGGGGGACCUUCGAGCCUCUUGCCAUCGGAUGUGCCCAGAUGGGAUUAGCUAGUAGGUGGGGUAACGGCUCACCUAGGCGACGAUCCCUAGCUGGUCUGAGAGGAUGACCAGCCACACUGGAACUGAGACACGGUCCAGACUCCUACGGGAGGCAGCAGUGGGGAAUAUUGCACAAUGGGCGCAAGCCUGAUGCAGCCAUGCCGCGUGUAUGAAGAAGGCCUUCGGGUUGUAAAGUACUUUCAGCGGGGAGGAAGGGAGUAAAGUUAAUACCUUUGCUCAUUGACGUUACCCGCAGAAGAAGCACCGGCUAACUCCGU